Molecule: long non-coding RNA, 465 nt
Filed under: Homo sapiens (human)
Lineage: Eukaryota; Metazoa; Chordata; Mammalia; Primates; Hominidae
Description: non-protein coding lnc-PIGC-2:4
Source: RNAcentral
AGAAUCCCUUUUUUGGAGAGUCAGAGAGAAAAGCAAAAAAAAAGAGCAUGAGGAAUUUGAAGACUGAGAGAUGAGUUGUGUAGCACCAACAUUUUCUUUCUGCCUGACCUUCAUACCUGAUGAAUUAAAAGAGGCUGAGCUGGAAUGGCUUCUUCAUCAUUAAGGGCUGACCUAUUGGCUUGGCAUUGAAAUCAAUUUAGAACAAAUGGUCUCCAUUUCAAGUCAGCUUGAACCAUCUAAGCCCCAGAACAUGACACAGAAAAAAAGAAGCAGUAAACUGCCCCUUCUACCAAUGUCUAAGAUGAACGGGAAAAAUGCAUAUAAAUGGAAUUUUUCUUUUACGUGAUGAUACAGUGUUUUGGUGUCCCAAAGAAAUAAAAUCCAGCACUGUCCAAUUGAAGUAUAAUGCAAGCCACAUUUCUAGUAGCCAUAUUUUAAAAAGUAACAAUAAAGUGUUGAAAUUUA